AUCCUGGCUCAGAAUGAACGCUAGCUACAGGCUUAACACAUGCAAGUCGAGGGGCAUCAGGAAGAAAGCUUGCUUUCUUUGCUGGCGACCGGCGCACGGGUGGGUAACACGUAUCCAACCUGCCCUUUACUCGGGGAUAGCCUUUCGAAAGAAAGAUUAAUACCCGAUGGCAUAAUGAUUCCGCAUGGUUUCAUUAUUAAAGGAUUCCGGUAAAGGAUGGGGAUGCGUUCCAUUAGGUUGUUGGUGAGGUAACGG
Molecule: ribosomal RNA, 255 nt
Filed under: uncultured bacterium
Lineage: Bacteria
Description: partial 16S ribosomal RNA
Rfam family: Bacterial small subunit ribosomal RNA
Source: RNAcentral